Molecule: small RNA, 8270 nt
Filed under: Pan troglodytes (chimpanzee)
Lineage: Eukaryota; Metazoa; Chordata; Mammalia; Primates; Hominidae
Description: retained intron
Source: RNAcentral
GAUGUCUUUGAGGAAAAUGAAAGCGGUCGUGGCCAGGACUGGCGCAGCUGCCGUUUCAGGCGAGGGGCGCAGAAUGCAGCGGCCGCCAGCCUGGAGCGCGGGCCCUGAGGCCGCAGCCCGCGCCGGGCGAGGUGGCAGCACACCCUGGGCCCCCAACUCCCCGCCGCAAGUCCUGAGGAUGGCCAGUAGAGAAACAAGAAAAUGGACUCCCUGGCUGCUGGAGAGUUGAAUGCCAGGCACCAGCCAUGGGUGCCAGAGUUUGUAGCCUAUUGGAGGAAAACACACCAAGACCAUCAUUGAAUGUUUAAAAUAUAUUUGUACUGGAGAUUUCCCUCCUGGAACCAAAGGAAAUACAUUUGUACACGAUCCCAAGGUUGCUCAAGAAACAGAUGUGAGAGCCCAGAUCCGUCUGCAAUUUCGUGAUGUCAAUGGAGAACUUAUAGCUGUACAAAGAUCUAUGGUGUGUACUCAGAAAAGCAAAAAGACAGAAUUUAAAACUCUGGAAGGAGUCAUUACUAGAACAAAGCAUGGUGAAAAGGUCAGUCUGAGCUCUAAGUGUGCAGAAAUUGACCGAGAAAUGAUCAGUUCUCUUGGGGUUUCCAAGGCUGUGCUAAAUAAUGUCAUUUUCUGUCAUCAAGAAGAUUCUAAUUGGCCUUUAAGUGAAGGAAAGGCUUUGAAGCAAAAGUUUGAUGAGAUUUUUUCAGCAACAAGGUUUGUAACCCUUAAAUAGACUUUGUAGUCCAUUAAGUUAUUGAACUGUGUUUGCAAUUUGGAUGCUUCUUUUUAACAGAAAAAAUUUAAAAAGCAGAAAGGUCAUCAGUUACUACCUCUCACCCAGCAGCAACCAUUGGGCAUAUUUUCUUUCACUUGUCUUUCUGUGCGUAUAUUUAUUUACCUGAUUGACAGUAUAAAUGUAAUUUUUUUCACUUACCAUUAUGUCAUAGGCAUUUUUACAAGUUAUUAAAAACUCAUUGUAACUGUAAUCUUAGUGAUAGCAUAAUAUCCCACUGUAUGAAUAUAUACCAUAAUUUACUUUGCCAGAAAUUUGAUUUUUGUUUCAUAUCUUCAAAGAUACAUUAAAGCCUUGGAAACACUUCGGCAGGUACGUCAGACACAAGGUCAGAAAGUAAAAGAAUAUCAAAUGGAACUAAAAUAUCUGAAGCAAUAUAAGGAAAAAGCUUGUGAGAUUCGUGAUCAGAUUACAAGUAAGGAAGCCCAGUUAACAUCUUCAAAGGAAAUUGUCAAAUCCUAUGAGAAUGAACUUGAUCCAUUGAAGAAUCGUCUAAAAGAAAUUGAACAUAAUCUCUCUAAAAUAAUGAAACUUGACAAUGAAAUUAAAGCCUUGGAUAGCCGAAAGAAGCAAAUGGAGAAAGAUAAUAGUGAACUGGAAGAGAAAAUGGAAAAGGUUUUUCAAGGGACUGAUGAGCAACUAAAUGACUUAUAUCACAAUCACCAGAGAACAGUAAGGGAGAAAGAAAGGAAAUUGGUAGAUUGUCAUCGUGAACUGGAAAAACUAAACAAAGAAUCUAGGCUUCUCAAUCAGGAAAAAUCAGAACUGCUUGUUGAACAGGGUCGUCUACAGCUGCAAGCAGAUCGCCAUCAAGAACAUAUCCGAGCUAGAGAUUCAUUAAUUCAGUCUUUGGCAACACAGCUAGAAUUGGAUGGCUUUGAGCGUGGACCAUUCAGUGAAAGACAGAUUAAAAAUUUUCACAAACUUGUGAGAGAGAGACAAGAAGGGGAAGCAAAAACUGCCAACCAACUGAUGAAUGACUUUGCAGAAAAAGAGACUCUGAAACAAAAACAGAUAGAUGAGAUAAGAGAUAAGAAAACUGGAUUGGGAAGAAUAAUUGAGUUAAAAUCAGAAAUCCUAAGUAAGAAGCAGAAUGAGCUGAAAAAUGUGAAGUAUGAAUUACAGCAGUUGGAAGGAUCUUCAGACAGGAUUCUUGAACUGGACCAGGAGCUCAUAAAAGCUGAACGUGAGUUAAGCAAGGCUGAGAAAAACAGCAAUGUAGAAACCUUAAAAAUGGAAGUAAUAAGUCUCCAAAAUGAAAAAGCAGACUUAGACAGGACCCUGCGUAAACUUGACCAGGAGAUGGAGCAGUUAAACCAUCAUACAACAACACGUACCCAAAUGGAGAUGCUGACCAAAGACAAAGCUGACAAAGAUGAACAAAUCAGAAAAAUAAAAUCUAGGCACAGUGAUGAAUUAACCUCACUGUUGGGAUAUUUUCCCAACAAAAAACAGCUUGAAGACUGGCUACAUAGUAAAUCAAAAGAAAUUAAUCAGACCAGGGACAGACUUGCCAAAUUGAACAAGGAACUAGCUUCAUCUGAGCAGAAUAAAAAUCAUAUAAAUAAUGAACUAAAAAGAAAGGAAGAGCAGUUAUCCAGUUACGAAGACAAGCUGUUUGAUGUUUGUGGUAGCCAGGAUUUUGAAAGUGAUUUAGACAGGCUUAAAGAGGAAAUUGAAAAAUCAUCAAAACAGCGAGCCAUGCUGGCUGGAGCCACAGCAGUUUACUCCCAGUUCAUUACUCAGCUAACAGACGAAAACCAGUCAUGUUGCCCCGUUUGUCAGAGAGUUUUUCAGACAGAGGCUGAGUUACAAGAAGUCAUCAGUGAUUUGCAGUCUAAACUGCGACUUGCUCCAGAUAAACUCAAGUCAACAGAAUCAGAGCUAAAAAAAAAGGAAAAGCGGCGUGAUGAAAUGCUGGGACUUGUGCCCAUGAGGCAAAGCAUAAUUGAUUUGAAGGAGAAGGAAAUACCAGAAUUAAGAAACAAACUGCAGAAUGUCAAUAGAGACAUACAGCGCCUAAAGAACGACAUAGAAGAACAAGAAACACUCUUGGGUACAAUAAUGCCUGAAGAAGAAAGUGCUAAAGUAUGCCUGACAGAUGUUACAAUUAUGGAGAGGUUCCAGAUGGAACUUAAAGAUGUUGAAAGAAAAAUUGCACAACAAGCAGCUAAGCUACAAGGAAUAGACUUAGAUCGAACUGUCCAACAAGUCAACCAGGAGAAACAAGAGAAACAGCACAAGUUAGACACAGUUUCUAGUAAGAUUGAAUUGAAUCGUAAGCUUAUACAGGACCAGCAGGAACAGAUUCAACAUCUAAAAAGUACAACAAAUGAGCUAAAAUCUGAGAAACUUCAGAUAUCCACUAAUUUGCAACGUCGUCAGCAACUGGAGGAGCAGACUGUGGAAUUAUCCACUGAAGUUCAGUCUUUGUACAGAGAGAUAAAGGAUGCUAAAGAGCAGGUAAGCCCUUUGGAAACAACAUUGGAAAAGUUCCAGCAAGAAAAAGAAGAAUUAAUCAACAAAAAAAAUACAAGCAACAAAAUAGCACAGGAUAAACUGAAUGAUAUUAAAGAGAAGGUUAAAAAUAUUCAUGGCUAUAUGAAAGACAUUGAGAAUUAUAUUCAAGAUGGGAAAGACGACUAUAAGAAGGUAAUUUAAAACUUAAAAUUAUUUAUUUGAUUGUAUUUUUAUUUCAUGUGCUUAAAGAAUUUUCUUUUUUUGUAGCAAAAAGAAACUGAACUUAAUAAAGUAAUAGCUCAACUAAGUGAAUGCGAGAAACACAAAGAAAAGAUAAAUGAAGAUAUGAGAAUCAUGAGACAAGAUAUUGAUACACAGAAGAUACAAGAAAGGUGGCUACAAGAUAACCUUACUUUAAGAAAAAGAAAUGAGGAACUAAAAGAAGUUGAAGAAGAAAGAAAACAACAUUUGAAGGAAAUGGGUCAAAUGCAGGUUUUGCAAAUGAAAAGUGAACAUCAGAAGUUGGAAGAGAACAUAGACAAUAUAAAAAGAAAUCAUAAUUUGGCAUUAGGGCGACAGAAAGGUUAUGAAGAAGAAAUUAUUCAUUUUAAGAAAGAACUUCGAGAACCACAAUUUCGGGAUGCUGAGGAAAAGUAUAGAGAAAUGAUGAUUGUUAUGAGGACAACAGAACUUGUGAACAAGGAUCUGGAUAUUUAUUAUAAGACUCUUGACCAAGCAAUAAUGAAAUUUCACAGUAUGAAAAUGGAAGAAAUCAAUAAAAUUAUACGUGACCUGUGGCGAAGUACCUAUCGUGGACAAGACAUUGAAUACAUAGAAAUACGGUCUGAUGCCGAUGAAAAUGUAUCAGCUUCUGAUAAAAGGCGGAGUUAUAACUACCGAGUGGUGAUGCUGAAGGGAGACACAGCCUUGGAUAUGCGAGGACGAUGCAGUGCUGGACAAAAGGUAUUAGCCUCACUCAUCAUUCGCCUGGCCCUGGCUGAAACGUUCUGCCUCAACUGUGGCAUCAUUGCCUUAGAUGAGCCAACAACAAACCUUGACCGAGAAAACAUUGAAUCUCUUGCACAUGCUCUGGUUGAGAUAAUAAAAAGUCGCUCACAGCAGCGUAACUUCCAGCUUCUGGUAAUCACUCAUGAUGAAGAUUUUGUGGAGCUUUUAGGACGUUCUGAAUAUGUGGAGAAAUUCUACAGGAUUAAAAAGAACAUCGAUCAGUGCUCAGAGAUUGUGAAAUGCAGUGUUAGCUCCCUGGGAUUCAAUGUUCAUUAAAAAUAUCCAAGAUUUAAGUGCCCUAGAAAUGUAGGUCCUCAGAAAGUGUAUAAUAAGAAACUUAUUUCUGAUAUCAACUUAGUCAAUAAGAAAAUAUAUUCUUUCAAAAGAACAUUGUGUCUAGGAUUUUGGAUGUUGAGCGGUUCUAAAAUCAUUAAACUUGUUUGUUUCACUGAAAAUUGGACAGAUUGCCUGUUUCUGAUUUGCUGCUCUUCAUCCCAUUCCAGGCAGCCUCUGACAGGCUUUCAGGGUUCAGCAGUACAGCCGAGACUCGACUCUGUGCCUCCCUCCCCAGUGCAAAUGCAUGCUUCUUCUCAAAGCACUGUUGAGAAGGAGAUAAUUACUGCCUUGAAAAUUUAUGGUUUUGGUAUUUUUUUUAAAUCAUAGUUAAAUGUUACCUCUGAAUUUAUUUCCUUGCAUGUGGUUUGAAAAACUGAGUAUUAAUAUCUGAGGAUGACCAGAAAUGGUGAGAUGUAUGUUUGGCUCUGCUUUUAACUUUAUAAAUCCAGUGACCUCUCUCUCUGGGACUUGGUUUCCCCAACUAAAAUUUGAAGUAGUUGAAUGGGGUCUCAAAGUUUGACAGGAACCUUAAGUAAUCAUCUAAGUCAGUACCCACCACCUUCUUCUCCUACAUAUCCCUUCCAGAUGGUCAUCCAGACUCAGAGCUCUCUCUACAGAGAGGAAAUUCUCCACUGUGCACACCCGCACACCCACCUUUGGAAAGCUCUGACCACUUGAGGCCUGAUCUGCCCAUCAUGGAGAAGCCUGUAACACUCCUCUGCGUCUAUCCUGUGUAGCAUACUGGCUUCACCAUCAAUCCUGAUUCCUCUCCAAGUGGGCAUUGCCAUGUGGAAGGCAAGCCAGGCUCACUCACAAAGUCAAGGCCUGCUCCCCGUAGGGUCCAACCAGACCUGGAAGAGCAGGCCUCUCCAUUUGCUCUUCAGAUGCCAUUUCUAAGAAAAGCCUAAUCACAGUUUUUCCUGGAAUUGCCAGCUGACAUCUUGAAUCCUUUCAUUCCACACAGAAUGCAACCAAGUCACACGCUUUUGAAUUAUGCUUUGUAGAGUUUUGUCAUUCAGAGUCAGCCAGGACCAUACCGGGUCUUGAUUCAGUCACGUGGCAUGGUUUUGUGCCAUCUGUAGCUAUAAUGAGCAUGUUUGCCUAGACAGCUUUUCUCAACUGGGUCCAGAAGAGAAUUAAGCCCUAAGGUCCUAAGGCAUCUAUCUGUGCUAGGUUAAAUGGUUGGCCCCCAAAGAUAGACAGGUCCUGAUUUCUAGAACCCGUGACUGUUACUUUAUACAGCAAAGGAAACUUUGCAGAUGUGAUUAAAGCUAAGGACCUUAAGACAGAGUAUCCUGGGGGGGGGGGUUGGGGGGGGGGUCCUAAAUGUAAUCACGAGUAAGAUUAAGAGCAAAUCAAUUCUAGUCAUAUAUUAAACAUCCACAAUAACCAAGAUAUUUUUAUCCCAAGAAUGCAAGAUUUCAGAAAAUGAAAAAUCUGUUGAUAAAUCCAUCACUAUAAUAAAACCGAAGGGGAAAAAAAUUCUGAAAAAAUUCUAGCAGCUAUAUUUGAUAAAAUUCAACAUCUCCUAGCUUUAGCAAACUCACAGUUUGCAAAUAAUAUUUUCUUAAUGUUAUCUGUUGCUAAACAAAAUUAAAGUCAUCUUAAUUGCAAAAUAAAACAUUUCUCAGUAAAUAUUAAAGCCAGUUACCUUCUAUCAACAUGUUAAUGAAAGUGCUAGUUGUUGCAGCAAAGAAUAACAAAGGCAAUACAAGAUCAAUAUAGGCAGUGAAACAAAAGUAUCAUUUGCAAGUUAAAACAGACUUCCCAAUUUUAAAUCUGGUUUCCCCCUGAAUAUGUGGCAUCCUUGGCAGCACUUCUGAGAGUGGCUGCUUUCAUUCCAAGAAGCCCAUGGGUUUGGAGGUGGGAUAGGUGCCUUUCUGGCUUCUCAUUGCUGCUUCUAGAUCAGUCUCCAAAUAUCCCCCUUCCCCACAUUGGAAUGAAUAGCCAUCACAGCAUGGAUGGAGGUUAGAAUGAGCCAGACUGCCUGGGCUCAAAUCCUAGCACACCACUCACUAGCUGGGGACCUUGAGCAAGUUAUAUGUCCUGUUUUGUUUCUGUUUCCUUAUAUGUAAAAGUGGGUAAAAUGGUACAUAUUUUGUAGGGUUGUUAUGAAGAUUGAAUGACAUUAUUUACAAACUGCUUAGAACUGCUUGCCACCUACUAAAUACUGUGUAAGUGUUCAAGAAAAAGCUGUCUUCAUUUCACUCUUGUUGCAGUUAUCUUUCAUCCCCAGCUUGGUCACUCCCUCUUAUUUGUUGAAGAGUUUAGCUCCCGGUUCAGUGUCACCCCAUUACUAAUAAUCAUUGCUGAUUUCAAUAUCCAAGUGAUGGUCUAAUACAACUCCUUGGCCUCUCAGUCUUUUUUUAUUUUUUGAGGUGGAGUCUUGCUCUGUCACCCAGGCUGGAGUGCAAUGGCACCAUCUCAGCUCACUGCAACCUCUGCCUCCCUGAUACAAGCAAUCCUCCUGCCUCAGCCUCCCAAGUAGCUAGGAAUACAGGCACGUACCACCACACCAGGCUAAUUUUUGUAUUUUAGUAGAGACAGGGUUUCGCCUUGUUGGCCAGGCUGGUCUUGAACGUCUGGCCUCAAGUGAUCUGCCUGCCUCGGCCUCCCUCAGCCCCUUUUUAUUUCCUCCAGUGAGAAGAUACUCAGUUCUAUGGUCUUAUUCUAGAGCCCGGUCCUUUUAAUAACAAUAACUGCACCCCUCCAAAAUCUCAGUUUUAAGCAUCUCACUCUCCAAUAACCCCAUGGUGUCUACAAUUUUCCUGUGGUCCUCAACCCCAGCAAUUCUUUGACCCCACUGAGAUUUCAAUCCAUUGAUUCUAUGGCUUUUUCACAGGUUGUUUCCCUGAUGCCUGUACUUCUCUCCUUAUUCAACUUAAAUUCCAUGGCUCAUCAUUAUGUCACCCUCCACUGCAUUGUCCUCAAACUGUCCUGACAAUCCCCAACCCUACUGGAAUCCAGCUCUGCCUCCUCCCUGCAACCUCCUUGCAACACCUGCACAUCCCGUUUCCUUUGCUGUUUCCUCCUCAUUUCCCUGGCCCCUCAAUGUCACAGGUUUUAGUACUCAGAGUCUGCACCUCUUUUCUUCUCUGUGCUCACUUAUUUGGUGAUCUCAUCCAGUCUCAUAGCUUUAAAUUAUCUUAGUUUGGGUUCUCCCAGAAGCAGAGCGUAAAACAAUGCUUCAUGUGAAAGUAAUCAGUAGGAAAUUGGGGAAAUUGUGUAUGAAAGAGAAAGCAGCCAAUGAAAAGUUUACUAUUAAGCCAGCUACGGUAAGUGGGCAAUUAGAGUUUGGUGCCCCAGGGAGACUCUGGGGAGUUUGGCAAAAUAUAUACCUCAGAAUUAUCCCACCUAAGGGGCAAGAGACCUGGAGUAUUUAUAUAACAACUUGCCAGGGUUACUGAGUGAGGGCUAUUCUAGCACAUGUUAGUUACUGGCUUGCCAUGUGUACCGGCACAGCUGCUUUCCACAGUUUAAAAAGAAAGUCUGAGCAACAUAGUGACAUCCCAUCUUUACAUAAAAUUUUUUAAAAAUUAGCAAGGCAUGGUGGUGCACACCUGUAGUCUCAGCUACUCGGCUGAGAUAGGAGGAUCCCUGGAGUCUGAGGGUUCAAGGCUGCAGUGAGCUGUGAUUUGUGCCACUGCACCCCAGCCUGGGUGGCAGAGUGAGACCC